This is a non-coding RNA of Picea glauca (white spruce), 121 nucleotides long. NCBI's taxonomy places the organism in Eukaryota, Viridiplantae, Streptophyta, Pinopsida, Pinales, Pinaceae. The record is from Rfam.
ACAUGCCCAUAUCAUAGCGUUAAUGCAAUAGAUACCAUUAAAACUCUGCAGUUAAGCACACUCAGGCUAGAGUAGUACUCAGAUGAGUGAAUGCCUAGGAAGUACUAGUGUUUUACAUGCC